UACGAAGGUGGCAAGCGUUGUUCGGAUUUAUUGGGCUUAAAGCGCACGUAGGCGGCUCUUCAAGUGUCUUGUGAAAUCCCUCGGCUCAACCGAGGAGUUGCUGGGCAUACUGUCGAGCUUGAGGUAGGUAUGGGUAAGUGGAACUCUUGGUGGAGCGGUGGAAUGCGUAGAUAUCAAGAGGAACGCCGGUGGUGAAGACGACUUACUAGGCCUAUCCUGACGCUGAGGUGCGAAAGCCAGGGGAGCGAACGGG
This 253-nucleotide ribosomal RNA is filed under the name uncultured bacterium. RNAcentral describes it as "partial 16S ribosomal RNA". It matches the Rfam family "Bacterial small subunit ribosomal RNA", at positions 524 to 776 of the family's 1533-position model. The record is from RNAcentral.